RNAcentral lists this long non-coding RNA (2345 nucleotides) under Homo sapiens (human). RNAcentral's name for it is "HSALNT0327343". Lineage: Eukaryota; Metazoa; Chordata; Mammalia; Primates; Hominidae. The record is from RNAcentral.
UCUGCGAUGCAGAAAGGGGUGCGGGUUGCAAAGGGAGUAGCCUCUGUUUUUUUGUUACUUAAGCAUGGGAAGUUGGAGUUUUCCUUUUGAUUCAUUUCUAGGAAGUCGGUGCAAACUGGCCCUGCCUCCAGACCCUAUUCUCCAGCAUGAAUUGCAUCUCAUCAAUGUCAUUUUCACUUUUGAUGAUGAAGGCUGAUUACCUUGUAGAGAGAGAAGUCAUAGGGAUGUUAUGUCCAUGGAGCGUGGCCUUAAGUGGACCUAUUUCUUGGGGUCUCCAGAUCUGUUUGGAACUUCAAAAUUAUUCAAGAAAAGGUGUCUCAUCAGCAGAAGACUGAACAGUUUUACCUAAUGGUAUCUUGAGUAGAAAUGUAACCUAGAAGAGUUUAUUGAAAAUCCUCCUGGCUGAUGCUUAUUUCUUGGAAUCCUGAGUCUUACACUUGCUACCUAAUAAAAAGAAGGAAGAUUCUUCUCAGCAAGGUGAGAAAACAGGCUGAGAGAAGUUGGAAGAAACACAGGAGCAGGGAUCCCACAUUAGACAGUCUGAUUCCAGAGAUCAGGACCUUGGCUGCAACACUAUAUGGGCUCUGGGAAAUCCAAGAGGCCUGUUUUCACCUGCACAGCAUUUCUACCUGCCCAUGAAAGGCAGACUUACGCACUUUGAUGUCAAAGACCAACCAGAAAGGUAACUUUAGAGAUGCUCACCCGAACGCCCCCUGUGCACUGCCUCUCUUCAAUGAUCCUGACCUCAUCGUACCUUUUGGGAGUGGCUCUGAGUCUGUGUUUCCACCACUGACUCCUUUGAAGAAGAUCGUCAGCCUUGGGUCUGGAAUGUAGCCCAUUAAUGUUCCCCUUGACCUUUGGUGGAAACGCUGCCAUUUCCUGUCCUGGUUCCUCAUCUUCUCUCAUGUGCCUAAACACUGACCCCAAGUGGGAGAGAAGAUACAGUCAAGUUCUUCGCCUUGACACUGUUCUCUGCAAAGUCAAAGUCACUUUCAGUCUUGAUUUUAACCAGAGCUUAUUUCCUCCCACCAGUGUUGGGAUGAAAGUCAAAGAUGAAGUGAAAGACAGAUUGUGUAACUUUUAUUUUUAAAAGAGUGUUUAAUUUUGGAAGGUAUGAUUAAUAUUUCAAUACUGCUUCUAAUGGCUUCAUUUAUUUUUUUUUCAGCCAAUAAGAAGUGAGAAAUCCUGUCUCCGUAGCCAAAAUCUCAUAUAAUUCCUCCCCAGCAAUACAGAAGUCUCUCUGUUGCUACCUAGAGUAAAAAUGUCAAUACACAUCAUGUAUUAAAAUUCACCUGUAUUUUCUCAACACCUUUUCGAUAUCUUUCCAAAUUGCUUUAGUAAUCUCUGGCAUCAAGAACUGGUAAGAGUAUGUGGCAUUUUCCUUCCUGUUUGAGUAACACCUAUUAAGAGAGGUGGCAAUUAAAAUCAAAUUGUAAUUUUUAAACCUUAAGGGAAGCUAUUGCAGUAUUGCUAAGAACAUUCAGUUACCGGUAUGUUAGCUAACACCUACACCCGCUGCGAUUAGCGAUGAAACAAACUUCUACGGACCUUAAAAAACCAAACGUCUCCUUUAAAAUAAUCAUCCUAUGAGUAAACAGUCCUGUUCACACAUGUAUAUGAGAUGUCAUCCUUUCUUUGCCGUUACAGCGCUCCGCCUUGCCAAUGCUGCUGAGCACUGACUCACUCACAGGGCAUUUGGAAGGUGGGCGAUUUGUUCCUGCAGCAUCAUUGCACUCCAAAUGUGCUGAGAAUGGAUGUAGCCUCCAAUGCUGCCGUGCCAGCAGCAGCUUAGAUCAGAGGGAUCAGCAGAGGCUAUUGUCCAUUCCUCAGCAAUGCACUUGACCUUGAGAGCUAUAUAGAAUGGAAGGAAACCCACUAAAGCCAAAUUCAUGUCCUAAGAUUUAUAUCCUUUUUAGGGAUCCCACCCCUGGAACGUAAUUCAGGUCCAAAUCCUCUUCUUCUCCUUUCCAACUGCCACUGCCUUAGAGUAGUGGACUUAUCUCCACCUGCACAUUUUAGAGUCACUUGGGGCAAGGCAGGGGGCAGACGUUAAAACAUACCAGUGUCAAGGUACCAUCCCAGAGACUCUAAAUUAAUUAGUCUGUGUUGUGCCUGAAAUGAGUACUUUUUAAUACCUCCCUAGGUAUUUCUAAAGUACAGCUAGGACUGGAAACCACUGGAGUCCAGCACAAGCCUUUCUCAUUUCUUUCCUGGUUUAUGGCAAAUGCCUCCUGAAUGCCCUUCAUCUUUUGUGCCUGAGGCUAAUCACCUUUAAUGUGUUAUAAUGAUUGAAUUAUUUUUGUAUUAAUCCAUGUUUGAUGUAGAAAAAUGAGAAAAUAAAAAGC